This 440-nucleotide ribosomal RNA is filed under the name uncultured bacterium. RNAcentral's name for it is "partial 16S ribosomal RNA". It matches the Rfam family "Bacterial small subunit ribosomal RNA", at positions 338 to 795 of the family's 1533-position model. The record is from RNAcentral.
CCUACGGGUGGCAGCAGUGGGGAAUAUUGCACAAUGGGGGAAACCCUGAUGCAGCGACGCCGCGUGAGUGAAGAAGUAAUUCGUUAUGUAAAGCUCUAUUAGCAGGGAAGAAAAUGACGGUACCUGAGUAAGAAGCCCCGUCUAACUACGUGCCAGCAGCCGCGGUAAUACGUAGGGGGCAAGCGUUAUCCGGAUUUACUGGGUGUAAAGGGAGCGUAGACGGCAGUGCAAGUCUGGAGUGAAAGGCGGGGGCUCAACCCCCGGACUGCUCUGGAAACUGUACGGCUGGAGUGCAGGAGAGGUAAGUGGAAUUCCUGGUGUAGCGGUGAAAUGCGUAGAUAUUAGGAGGAACACCGAUGGCGAAGGCAGCCUGCUGGACUGUGACUGACGUUAAGGCCCGAAGGCGUGGGGAGCAAACAGGAUUAGAUACCCCGGUAGUC